GGCUCAGAUUGAACGCUGGCGGCAGGCCUAACACAUGCAAGUCGAACGGUAACAGGAAGCAGCUUGCUGCUUCGCUGACGAGUGGCGGACGGGUGAGUAAUGUCUGGGAAACUGCCUGAUGGAGGGGGAUAACUACUGGAAACGGUGGCUAAUACCGCAUAACGUCGCAAGACCAAAGAGGGGGACCUUCGGGCCUCUUGCCAUCAGAUGUGCCCAGAUGGGAUUAGCUUGUUGGUGAGGUAACGGCUCACCAAGGCGACGAUCCCUAGCUGGUCUGAGAGGAUGACCAGCCACACUGGAACUGAGACACGGUCCAGACUCCUACGGGAGGCAGCAGUGGGGAAUAUUGCACAAUGGGCGCAAGCCUGAUGCAGCCAUGCCGCGUGUAUGAAGAAGGCCUUCGGGUUGUAAAGUACUUUCAGCGGGGGGGAAGGUGUUGUGGUUAAUAACCGCAGCAAUUGACGUUACCCGCAGAAGAAGCACCGGCUAACUCCGUGCCAGCAGCCGCGGUAAUACGGAGGGUGCAAGCGUUAAUCGGAAUUACUGGGCGUAAAGCGCACGCAGGCGGUCUGUCAAGUCGGAUGUGAAAUCCCCGGGCUCAACCUGGGAACUGCAUUCGAAACUGGCAGGCUUGAGUCUUGUAGAGGGGGGUAGAAUUCCAGGUGUAGCGGUGAAAUGCGUAGAGAUCUGGAGGAAUACCGGUGGCGAAGGCGGCCCCCUGGACAAAGACUGACGCUCAGGUGCGAAAGCGUGGGGAGCCAACAGGAUUAGAUACCCUGGUAGUCCACGCCGUAAACGAUGUCUACUUGGAGGUUGUGCCCUUGAGGCGUGGCUUCCGGAGCUAACGCGUUAAGUAGACCGCCUGGGGAGUACGGCCGCAAGGUUAAAACUCAAAUGAAUUGACGGGGGCCCGCACAAGCGGUGGAGCAUGUGGUUUAAUUCGAUGCAACGCGAAGAACCUUACCUGGUCUUGACAUCCACAGAAGAAUCCAGAGAUGGAUUUGUGCCUUCGGGAACUGUGAGACAGGUGCUGCAUGGCUGUCGUCAGCUCGUGUUGUGAAAUGUUGGGUUAAGUCCCGCAACGAGCGCAACCCUUAUCCUUUGUUGCCAGCGAUUAGGUCGGGAACUCAAAGGAGACUGCCAGUGAUAAACUGGAGGAAGGUGGGGAUGACGUCAAGUCAUCAUGGCCCUUACGACCAGGGCUACACACGUGCUACAAUGGCGCAUACAAAGAGAAGCGACCUCGCGAGAGCAAGCGGACCUCAUAAAGUGCGUCGUAGUCCGGAUUGGAGUCUGCAACUCGACUCCAUGAAGUCGGAAUCGCUAGUAAUCGUGGAUCAGAAUGCCACGGUGAAUACGUUCCCGGGCCUUGUACACACCGCCCGUCACACCAUGGGAGUGGGUUGCAAAAGAAGUAGGUAGCUUAACCUUCGGGAGGGCGCUUACCACUUUGUGAUUCAUGACUGGGGUGAAGUCGUAACAAGGU
This 1486-nucleotide ribosomal RNA is filed under the name uncultured bacterium. RNAcentral describes it as "bacterial SSU rRNA". It matches the Rfam family "Bacterial small subunit ribosomal RNA". The record is from RNAcentral.